GGUUCUGUAAUUCAGUGGUAGAAUAACUCCUUGUCAGGGAGAAGGUCGCAGGUUCAAAUCCUGUCAGAAUCGCCA
RNAcentral lists this transfer RNA (75 nucleotides) under Bacteroidia bacterium. Its description in RNAcentral is "tRNA-Asp". It matches the Rfam family "tRNA". From Rfam's summary of the family: Transfer RNA (tRNA) molecules are approximately 80 nucleotides in length. Their secondary structure includes four short double-helical elements and three loops (D, anti-codon, and T loops). Lineage: Bacteria; Pseudomonadati; Bacteroidota; Bacteroidia. The record is from RNAcentral.